GGCCGUAUGGCGUAAUGGCAACGCGUCUGACUACGAAUCAGGAGAUUGCAGGUUCGACCCCUGCUUCGGUCA
RNAcentral lists this transfer RNA (72 nucleotides) under Trichodelitschia bisporula. It matches the Rfam family "tRNA". From Rfam's summary of the family: Transfer RNA (tRNA) molecules are approximately 80 nucleotides in length. Their secondary structure includes four short double-helical elements and three loops (D, anti-codon, and T loops). Lineage: Eukaryota; Fungi; Ascomycota; Dothideomycetes; Phaeotrichales; Phaeotrichaceae. The record is from Rfam by way of RNAcentral.